Long non-coding RNA from Sitodiplosis mosellana (orange wheat blossom midge), 549 nucleotides. RefSeq lists it as uncharacterized. NCBI's taxonomy places the organism in Eukaryota, Metazoa, Arthropoda, Insecta, Diptera, Cecidomyiidae. The transcript is spliced from 2 exons. The record is from RefSeq and is a predicted model, not a curated record.
CAAUGAUGAAUCCACUGAGCCUGCCGAAGUUGAUCCAACAAAGGCAAAACUGCGCAUCAAAACUGGAGUACGUCGAUCAGAAGACCAACGCCUUAUCGGCCACAUGCUUGGUGAAGAAGGUGAAUCCGAUUUUGAUAGUUCGAUGGAGUACAACGGAGGCGAAGAUUAUUCCGAUGAUUCUGACUUAAAUCUUGAGAACGAUCCAGCUGCAAACGUUGAGGCUCUGUAUAACUUUAGUGAAAAUGUGCCGGCUCGCAUUAAAUCAGCCAAACCAAAAGCUCAUCAAAGCGAUGAAGAUUUUUGAACACACACGGGAUUGAAGGGACGAAGAAGAGAAAGACAGGGGAUUCUCAGAUAACUCAGCAACCCACACUAGUGAUAUAGUUUGCCAUUAAACUAUUAUGAUUAUGUAAUUUGCAAUUUUUUAAAUUAAAAACAAAUGUAAAUUCAAAAAUGUCUCGAUUUAUUCAUAUUUAAACCACAUGGAAAUAAUGUCUUAAAUCCAAACCCUAGAGCAGAGAAGAGCAAAAUAAAAGCAAAUAAAACGAC